Molecule: transfer RNA, 77 nt
Filed under: Oscillospiraceae bacterium
Lineage: Bacteria; Bacillati; Bacillota; Clostridia; Eubacteriales; Oscillospiraceae
Description: tRNA-His
Rfam family: tRNA
About the family: Transfer RNA (tRNA) molecules are approximately 80 nucleotides in length.
Source: RNAcentral
GUGGGUAUAGCUCAGUUGGUUAGAGCGCCAGAUUGUGGCUCUGGAGGUCGUGAGUUCGAACCUCAUUACCCACCCCA